Molecule: ribosomal RNA, 375 nt
Filed under: uncultured bacterium
Lineage: Bacteria
Description: bacterial SSU rRNA
Rfam family: Bacterial small subunit ribosomal RNA
Source: RNAcentral
AUACGUAGGGAGCGAGCGUUGUCCGGAAUUACUGGGCGUAAAGGGUGCGUAGGCGGCAGGGCAAGUCAGAUGUGAAAUCCCCGGGCUUAACUCGGGAGUUGCAUUUGAAACUGCUUUGCUUGAGUGCAGGAGAGGAAAGCGGAAUUCCUAGUGUAGCGGUGAAAUGCGUAGAUAUUAGGAGGAACACCAGUGGCGAAGGCGGCUUUCUGGACUGUAACUGACGCUGAGGCACGAAAGCGUGGGGAGCAAACAGGAUGAGAUACCCUGGUAGUCCACGCCGUAAACGAUGGAUACUAGGUGUGGGGGAGAUACAACCUCCGUGCCGGAGCAAACGCAAUAAGUAUCCCGCCUGGGGAGUACGGUCGCAAGGCUGAA